AAGAUAAACUGACUUAGUGUUGUCACUCUCCCAAUAAGGAUUGGACCUCUUUUAUAGUCUUCAAUAGGUUCAUCUUUUGUAUAACUCGGAUCUUUUCAGAACUCGCUUCUAUUUUUUUGUCCGAAACCGUGAAUCCCAAGUACUUUCCUGAGGUGACUCCAAAGGCGCAUUUUGUCAGAUUUAACUUCAUUUGAUACUUUCGAAGAGUAGC
Molecule: long non-coding RNA, 211 nt
Filed under: Elaeis guineensis (African oil palm)
Lineage: Eukaryota; Viridiplantae; Streptophyta; Magnoliopsida; Arecales; Arecaceae
Description: long non-coding RNA (EGUI_LNC034282)
Source: RNAcentral